This 253-nucleotide ribosomal RNA is filed under the name uncultured bacterium. RNAcentral's name for it is "partial 16S ribosomal RNA". It matches the Rfam family "Bacterial small subunit ribosomal RNA", at positions 524 to 776 of the family's 1533-position model. The record is from RNAcentral.
GACAGAGGGUGCAACCGUUGUUCGGAAUUACUGGGCGUAAAGCGCAUGUAGGCUGCUUCGCAAGUCGGAUGUGAAAGCCCUGGGCUCAACCCAGGAAGUGCAUUCGAAACUGCAGAGCUGGAGUCCUGGAGAGGAAGGCGGAAUUCUCGGUGUAGAGGUGAAAUUCGUAGAUAUCGAGAGGAACACCGGUGGCGAAGGCGGCCUUCUGGACAGUGACUGACGCUGAGACGCGAAAGCGUGGGGAGCAAACAGG